AAGUCGUAACAAGGUUUCCGUAGGUGAACCUGCGGAAGGAUCAUUACCGAGCAAGGGUCUUCUGGGCCCGACCUCCAACCCUUUGUCUAUUCUACCCUGUUGCUUUGGCGGGUCUGCCCUUAGGGGCCGCUGGGGGUCUUAUCACCCCUGGUCCGUACCAGCCAGUGGCCUUUUAAAUUCUUUCUAUAACUGUGAUGUCUGAGUACAAAAAGUAAAAUCGUUAAAAACUUUCAACAACGGAUCUCUUGGUUCUG
RNAcentral lists this unclassified non-coding RNA (254 nucleotides) under Herpotrichiellaceae sp. RNAcentral's name for it is "partial contains small subunit ribosomal RNA, internal transcribed spacer 1, and 5.8S ribosomal RNA". The stretch from base 1 to 46 matches the Rfam family "Eukaryotic small subunit ribosomal RNA", at positions 1786 to 1831 of the family's 1831-position model. The record is from RNAcentral. Lineage: Eukaryota; Fungi; Ascomycota; Eurotiomycetes; Chaetothyriales; Herpotrichiellaceae.